AUACGGAGGGUGCAAGCGUUAAUCGGAAUUACUGGGCGUAAAGCGUGCGUAGGUGGACUGUUAAGUCAGAUGUGAAAGCCCUGGGCUCAACCUAGGAAUUGCAUUUGAUACUGGCAGUCUAGAGUAUGGUAGAGGGUAGUGGAAUUCCCGGUGUAGCAGUGAAAUGCGUAGAUAUCGGGAGGAACAUCAGUGGCGAAGGCGACUACCUGGACCAAUACUGACACUGAGGCACGAAAGCGUGGGGAGCGAACGGGAUUAGAAACCCCAGUAGUCC
RNAcentral lists this ribosomal RNA (274 nucleotides) under uncultured bacterium. RNAcentral's name for it is "partial 16S ribosomal RNA". It matches the Rfam family "Bacterial small subunit ribosomal RNA", at positions 523 to 796 of the family's 1533-position model. The record is from RNAcentral.